GACGAACGCUGGCGGCGUGCUUAACACAUGCAAGUCGAACGUGAUUUUCAUAGAAGUUCCUUCGGGAGUGGAAAUGAAAUGAAAGUGGCGAACGGGUGAGUAACACGUGAGCAACCUACCUUACACAGGGGGAUAGCCGUUGGAAACGACGAUUAAUACCGCAUGAGACCACAGAAUCGCAUGAUAUAGGGGUCAAAGAUUUAUCGGUGUAAGAAGGGCUCGCGUCUGAUUAGCUAGUUGGAAGGGUAAAGGCCUACCAAGGCGACGAUCAGUAGCCGGUCUGAGAGGAUGAACGGCCACAUUGGAACUGAGACACGGUCCAAACUCCUACGGGAGGCAGCAGUGGGGAAUAUUGCACAAUGGGGGGAACCCUGAUGCAGCGACGCCGCGUGAGCGAAGAAGGUUUUCGAAUCGUAAAGCUCUGUCCUAUGAGAAGAUAAUGACGGAUCAUAGGAG
RNAcentral lists this ribosomal RNA (456 nucleotides) under Parvimonas micra. RNAcentral describes it as "bacterial SSU rRNA". It matches the Rfam family "Bacterial small subunit ribosomal RNA", at positions 28 to 465 of the family's 1533-position model. The record is from RNAcentral. Lineage: Bacteria; Bacillati; Bacillota; Tissierellia; Tissierellales; Peptoniphilaceae.